UACCCAGCAAUGGGAGUGCGAAUCUCGAAAGCCUGUCUCAGUUCGGAUUGGAGGCUGAAACCCGCCUCCAUGAAGUUGGAUUCGCUAGUAAUCGCGCAUCAGCCAUGGCGCGGUGAAUACGUUCCCGGGCCUUGUACACACCGCCCGUCAAGCCAUGGGAGCCGGGGGGUGCCUGAAGUUCGUGACCGCAAGGAGCGACCUAGGGCAAAACUGGUGACUGGGGCUAAGUCGUAACAAGGUACC
Molecule: ribosomal RNA, 243 nt
Filed under: uncultured bacterium
Lineage: Bacteria
Description: partial 16S ribosomal RNA
Rfam family: Bacterial small subunit ribosomal RNA
Source: RNAcentral